This 910-nucleotide ribosomal RNA is filed under the name uncultured bacterium. RNAcentral's name for it is "bacterial SSU rRNA". It matches the Rfam family "Bacterial small subunit ribosomal RNA", at positions 28 to 948 of the family's 1533-position model. The record is from RNAcentral.
GACGAACGCUGGCGGCGUGCUUAACACAUGCAAGUCACGGGGGCUCGCAAGAGCAACCGGCGAACGGGUGCGUAACACGUGAGCAAUUUGCCGAUUUCUGGGGGAUAGCCGGCCCAACGGCCGGGUAAUACCGCAUACGCUCAAGGGGUGGAGUCACCUUUUGAGGAAACCUCCGGGGGAAAUCGAGGAGCUCGCGGCCUAUCAGCUAGUUGGCGAGGUAACGGCUCACCAAGGCGACGACGGGUAGCUGGUCUGAGAGGAUGGCCAGCCACAUUGGGACUGAGAGACGGCCCAGACUCCUACGGGAGGCAGCAGUGGGGAAUCUUGCGCAAUGGCCGAAAGGCUGACGCAGCGACGCCGCGUGUGGGAUGACGCCUUUCGGGGUGUAAACCACUGUUGCCCGGGACGAACUGCCUUUUUCGAGAGGCUUGACGGUACCGGGUGAGGAAGCACCGGCUAACUCCGUGCCAGCAGCCGCGGUAAUACGGAGGGUGCGAGCGUUGUCCGGAAUCACUGGGCGUAAAGGGCGCGUAGGCGGCUUGGCAAGUCAGUGGUGAAAGCCCGAGGCUCAACUUCGGGUCGGCCACUGAUACUGCUAGGCUUGAGUCGACUAGAGGCAGAUGGAAUUCCGGGUGUAGCGGUGGAAUGCGUANAGAUCCGGAAGAACACCGGUGGCGAAGGCGGUCUGCUGGGGUCGAACUGACGCUGAAGCGCGACAGCGUGGGGAGCAAACAGGAUUAGAUACCCUGGUAGUCCACGCCGUAAACGAUGGGCACUAGGUGCUUUGGGGGAGCGACCCCUUGAGUGCCGGCGCUAACGCAUUAAGUGCCCCGCCUGGGGAGUACGGCCGCAAGGCUGAAACUCAAAGGAAUUGACGGGGGCCCGCACAAGCGGUGGAGCACGUGGUUUA